GCCGGGUGGCUCAGUUGGUUAAGCAUCUGACUUUGACUCAGGUCGUAAUCUCACGGUUUGUGGGUUCGAGCCCCACAUCGGGCU
RNAcentral lists this transfer RNA (84 nucleotides) under Felis catus (domestic cat). It matches the Rfam family "tRNA". From Rfam's summary of the family: Transfer RNA (tRNA) molecules are approximately 80 nucleotides in length. Their secondary structure includes four short double-helical elements and three loops (D, anti-codon, and T loops). Lineage: Eukaryota; Metazoa; Chordata; Mammalia; Carnivora; Felidae. The record is from Rfam by way of RNAcentral. RNAcentral also lists the same sequence under 2 other names.